UGCAGAAAUACCCCAUCUGAUUAUUGCGUCUCAUGGCGAUUGCAUUUUCAGCAUUGAAGGGUCUCCAUUGACUGCCCAGGGGUGGAGACAUUUGGGCCAUCAGUCCACCCUCUUUGAGUGACGGAGGCAUCCCUGUGAGUGCAGUAGACGGGGCCCGUGACAGGAGGAGCCACGCCGUGACCCAACCCCUCACAGGAGGAGAAACUCUUCGUUGAGCUCCAGGACGGGCAGACCCACGGGAGCCAGCACUCGGCUAACACCAGCAAAUAGGAUGAAAUUAUUGUGUAAUGACGUGUGGGCUUUGGUGCAGUCUGCAUAUUACACCACAGGACCAAAGGCCAGAUUGAGAGAAACAGAAAGUCUGCAGAGAACCCUGCUCUGUGCUCUUUUGGCAGAACAGCCGUUUUAGAAAAAUUGGGGUUUAGGAAAUAAUGUGCCUUUGAAGUAGGAGGCACAUACAUAUGUAUCAGAGUUUAAUAUAUAUAUACUUCUUUUGACCCUUAAGUCUUUAAAGAGCAAGGUCAAGGACGAGAGCAGCAAGAAUUGCAUUUAUUAAUACAUUUUUGUUUUUA
Sinocyclocheilus anshuiensis is the source of this 572-nucleotide long non-coding RNA. RefSeq lists it as uncharacterized. The transcript is spliced from 3 exons. The record is from RefSeq and is a predicted model, not a curated record. NCBI's taxonomy places the organism in Eukaryota, Metazoa, Chordata, Actinopteri, Cypriniformes, Cyprinidae.